CAGACCCCUGCACUACCGAGAGUUCGGGUCUCCGCCGCUCUUCGCAGUAGCCGCCGCCGCCGCCGCAGCGUAAGAAGGCGAAGCGGCGUCCGGUGCCGAAGGGAGCUAUUUCGAAUAUCCCGCCCCAGCUGUAUUGGUUGAGCCUCCCAUCUCUACUCCGCUCUCAUUGGCUAAAUCAUACCAGGCCCGAAAACAAGAGUUGGAACCCGCCUCCCCGAGGAAGAGACAAUGGGAGAGGCAGGAGUCCGAGGUUAAGACAAUCGGGCAUUUACCUAGAUCGGGCAGCUGAAUACAAAGCCACAUUAUUGAUGAAAAUAAGGAGAGCGAAAUGACGGAGGAGCAAGCGGAGCAUCGCUGAAACAGCCACUGUAUUGAUUAAGGUUUUGCAGGACCAUGCCUAUCAAACAUAGCCCAAGAAUUGCAGCCAAGUUCUUUACCAUUCUCCUUGAGUGAAUUUAUUUGAGAUGACAAGAGUAGAAGAUGCCUUCUGGGAGAAAAGAAUUCUUUCAAUUUCCAACAUUAAGGCAAGCCAAUUAGAGAGCGUCUCCAAAUGUGGUAGUUAACUGAGAUUAUUCAAGCAUAUAGAGAAGACUCUCUGAAAUCAGAGAGAAAGUGAAUAAAGAUAUAUGACAAUAAAA
Sarcophilus harrisii (Tasmanian devil) is the source of this 638-nucleotide long non-coding RNA. RefSeq lists it as uncharacterized. The transcript is spliced from 3 exons. NCBI's taxonomy places the organism in Eukaryota, Metazoa, Chordata, Mammalia, Dasyuromorphia, Dasyuridae. The record is from RefSeq and is a predicted model, not a curated record.